Molecule: transfer RNA, 74 nt
Filed under: Syntrophomonadaceae bacterium
Lineage: Bacteria; Bacillati; Bacillota; Clostridia; Eubacteriales; Syntrophomonadaceae
Description: tRNA-Gln
Rfam family: tRNA
About the family: Transfer RNA (tRNA) molecules are approximately 80 nucleotides in length. Their secondary structure includes four short double-helical elements and three loops (D, anti-codon, and T loops).
Source: RNAcentral
AGCUGGAUGGUGUAGUGGUAACACAACUGACUCUGGAUCAGUAUUCGAGGGUUCGAAUCCUUCUCCGGCUGCCA